UACGUAGGGUGCAAGCGUUGUCCGGAAUUAUUGGGCGUAAAGAGCUCGUAGGCGGUUCGUCGCGUCGGCUGUGAAAUCCCGAGGCUCAACCUCGGGUCUGCAGUCGAUACGGGCGGACUGGAGUUCGGCAGGGGAGACUGGAAUUCCUGGUGUAGCGGUGAAAUGCGCAGAUAGUCAGGAGGAACACCGGUGGCGGAAGGCGGGUCGUCUGGGCCGAUACUGACGCUGAGGAGCGAAAGCGUGGGGAGCGAACAGG
Molecule: ribosomal RNA, 256 nt
Filed under: uncultured bacterium
Lineage: Bacteria
Description: partial 16S ribosomal RNA
Rfam family: Bacterial small subunit ribosomal RNA
Source: RNAcentral